GACGAACGCUGGCGGCGUGCCUAAUACAUGCAAGUUGAGCGCUGAAGGUUGGUACUUGUACCAACUGGAUGAGCAGCGAACGGGUGAGUAACGCGUGGGGAAUCUGCCUUUGAGCGGGGGACAACAUUUGGAAACGAAUGCUAAUACCGCAUAAAAACUUUAAACACAAGUUUUAAGUUUGAAAGAUGCAAUUGCAUCACUCAAAGAUGAUCCCGCGUUGUAUUAGCUAGUUGGUGAGGUAAAGGCUCACCAAGGCGAUGAUACAUAGCCGACCUGAGAGGGGGAUCGGCCACAUUGGGACUGAGACACGGCCCAAACUCCUACGGGAGGCAGCAGUAGGGAAUCUUCGGCAAUGGACGAAAGUCUGACCGAGCAACGCCGCGUGAGUGAAGAAGGUUGUCGGAUCGUAAAACUCUGUUGGUAGAGAAGAACGUUGGUGAGAGUGGAAAGCUCAUCAAGUGACGGUAACUACCCAGAAAGGGACGGCUAACUACGUG
RNAcentral lists this ribosomal RNA (497 nucleotides) under uncultured bacterium. Its description in RNAcentral is "partial 16S ribosomal RNA". It matches the Rfam family "Bacterial small subunit ribosomal RNA", at positions 28 to 507 of the family's 1533-position model. The record is from RNAcentral.